UUUCAUUCUUGUUGCCCAGGCUGGAGUGCUGUGGUGCAAUCUCUGUUCACUGCAACCUCCUCCUCCCGGGUUCAAACGAUUCUCCUGCUUCAACCUCCUGGGUAGCUGGGAUUACAGGCACCCACCACCACGCCCAGCUAAUUUUUGUAUUUUUAGUACAGAUGGGGUUUCAUCAUAUUGGUCAGGCUGGUCUCAAAUUCCUGACCUCAGGUGAUCCACCCACUUUGGCCUCCCAAAGUGCUGGGAUUACAGGCAUGAGCCACCGCGCCUAGCCUUGGGGCCUCUGUUUUUUGUGUGUGUUGAGAGGGCUGUAGAAAGGUUUUCACCAGGUCAAGACUGAGAAGUUGCAGGACCACGUUCUGGACCCAGGGCUCUGGCGGGCUUCACCCGGUGUCUUCACACCUCUAUCCCUAAUGCCUCACCAGCGCCCUCUAUUGAGAAUUCUUGGCAUUGUGCUCACUUUUUUUUUUUUUUUUUUUUUUUUUUUCUGGCGUAACGAGACUUUACUGAAAACAGAAAACCGGGCGAACCAAGGAUUACAAACAGGAAUGUGGACUCGUAGCAAAACAAAACAAAACAGAAAAAGGAGGGGGGACCGGUCGAAAGAACCGAAGGGGGAAGCGAGAUCGAGGAAAGGGGCGGAGAAUUUUUUUUCUUCUUCCCAUUUCUUUAAAAAACCAACACAAGAAAACACACACACACACAACCAACGUUUGUUCCCAAGUAGAAACAUAAAUAGGGCAGAAUCGAACACUCUGUUCUUCUCUCUUCCAAAGGAAAAAAAAAAAAAAGUUAAAGGAAAAGAAAGGCUGGGUUUGAGGCUGCGCCCCCUCGGAGCCCCCUUCCGCUGCGCGGUGUACAAGGUGGCAGCCGAGACGCGCGGGUUUGUGCAACACAGGGCGGCCGCGCGGGGGACAGAGGCAGCGCGAGGGCGGGGGGUCAUGCGCUCGCCCCCCCGGGAGCAGGGGGUCCAGCUUGUCGAGUCCGGGGCGCCCCUUCCGAGUCCUGGGCACCCUCGGGGGGGAUCCCCGGGGGCCGCGCCCUCUCUGAAUUCCUGGGCACACUCGGGGGAAGGGGGGUCCCCAGGGCGGCACCCUCUCCAAGUCCGGGGCGCCCACGACACCCCCCCGCGAGCCCGCCCCUCGGGGAGGGUGGCCGCGCAUGCGCCCCGCGCGCGGACUCAGUACGCGGGCACCUGGUGCUGGGGCAGCAGCUGGCAGCCGCUGUUGACGUGGCUGAGGACUUUCUGCUUGAGCUGCGCCACCUGCUCGCGCAGCAGGCUUGCAGUGGACGCCAGCUCCGUGUUCUGGCUCUUAAGGGUCUUCACUUUCUCCUCCAGGCGCGAGAUGCGCUCCAGCUUGCGCUUGCGGCACUUGGAGGCGGCGAUGCGGUUGCGCAGCCGCUUGCGCUCCGCCUUGAUGCGCUCCUGCGUGUCCAUGUCGAUGGGUGACAGCGGCGGGCUCUCACCGAAGCUCGGCACGUCGGGCACCGUCUGUGGUUCGUCCUUGAGCGCAGCCAGGCGCGGCGGCCCCAACGCGCCCGGGGGUGGCGGCGGCGGGAAGGGCACGGGUUCGGCGGCGAAGGCGACCGUCCCGGCGCCCCCCGCGCCCCCGGCGCCGCCCGCGUAGCUACUCAGGUUCGCGUAGACGGGCGCCUCGGGCGCGGCCGCCGCCGGGGCCAGCUCGCCGGGGGGCGCGGAGCC
Piliocolobus tephrosceles (Ugandan red Colobus) is the source of this 1702-nucleotide long non-coding RNA. The record is from Ensembl. NCBI's taxonomy places the organism in Eukaryota, Metazoa, Chordata, Mammalia, Primates, Cercopithecidae.